GGAGAUGAGGUUUAUAUGGCCACAGCAUCUCACUCCACUAACUACCAGGGUUGAGUCAGCUGAACUGGUUGGUGGGACAGCUGUCCCUCACCUCCCACACUAUUCUAUGAGCCUUCUACCCAAAGCCUGACAGAAGAGGGCCAACAAACCCUUUAGCAGUUGGAGGCCUCAUCCUCAGUUAAAAGGCUAUGAUGACUGGGCAGCUCUAUUAAAACUUGCCGCUCCAGUGAUGCCCUUCGCCCAACAGAGAAGGAAAGGCUAGGAGCUUGGGUCCUCAGUUGCAAAUGGUAUCCUGA
This 296-nucleotide small nuclear RNA is filed under the name Loxodonta africana (African savanna elephant). RNAcentral's name for it is "7SK RNA". It matches the Rfam family "7SK RNA". From Rfam's summary of the family: 7SK was discovered as an abundant small nuclear RNA in the mid-70s but a possible function has only recently been suggested. Two independent studies have found that 7SK RNA binds the CDK9/cyclin T complex (known as elongation factor P-TEFb). The record is from Rfam by way of RNAcentral. Lineage: Eukaryota; Metazoa; Chordata; Mammalia; Proboscidea; Elephantidae.